GCCAAUCCUCCUCUUUUUGCAGAGGAAGACUGGCCCUGAGCUAACGUCCAUGCCCAUCUUCCUCUACUUUAUAUGUGGGAUGCCUACCACAGCAUGGCUUGCCAGGCAGUGCCAUGUCCGCACCAGGGAUCCCAACUGGCAAACCCCGGCCGCCGAAGCGGAACGUGCGCACUUAACUGCUGCACCACCCACCAGCCCCUGAAGAAACCUUUCAACGGAAGGAGAUGGGAGAACAGCAAAGAGAUCAGAAAAGUGUAGGCAACAAGGAGAUAGCACAGGCUUUUGAGCAGAAGAACGAUACCGUUGGACCGCUAUUGCAGGCCAAGCAUUUAGGCAGCCAUGUGUGGGGUGGAUGGCAGCCAGGAGCGAUGGCCCCAGGAGGCCAGUUUCAGAGAUUGUUGCAAGAUUCUAGAUUGGAAGCUCCUUGAAAGCAGAGCCCAUGUAUUACAACUUUGUAUCCUAUCUCAAUUCUUAGCACAUGAAAGAUGGCUGCAAAUUGGAAUUCCUAUUUUCUGAAAUUGCCUCCUGACUUUGCCCUAGAACUAUCCUAUUUUGUAAUGGGCCUGCAAUCUGCCUCUGAAUGGAAGUCAUGGAAAGGAUCAAAAAUGACUGACCAGCGUUGGUGGAGUUUGGGUUUUUUUUAAAUAAUAGUAGGUAUUAAUGUAGCACACUGUAUUUGUAGUGCUUUGAAAUAAAUAUCACAAUAUUAUAUGUAAAUAUACAUAUAACCAAAC
RNAcentral lists this long non-coding RNA (734 nucleotides) under Equus caballus (horse). RNAcentral describes it as "lncRNA (ENSECAG00000051720.1)". Lineage: Eukaryota; Metazoa; Chordata; Mammalia; Perissodactyla; Equidae. The record is from RNAcentral.